Molecule: ribosomal RNA, 494 nt
Filed under: uncultured Pedobacter sp.
Lineage: Bacteria; Pseudomonadati; Bacteroidota; Sphingobacteriia; Sphingobacteriales; Sphingobacteriaceae
Description: bacterial SSU rRNA
Rfam family: Bacterial small subunit ribosomal RNA
Source: RNAcentral
AUCCUGGCUCAGGAUGAACGCUAGCGGCAGGCCUAAUACAUGCAAGUCGAACGAUACUCUUCAGCUUGCUGAAGAGGAAAGUGGCGCACGGGUGCGUAACGCGUAUGCAACCUACCUUAAUCAGGGGGAUAGCCCGAAGAAAUUCGGAUUAACACCGCAUAAAAACACAGGACAGCAUUGUCCAAUGUUCAAAUAUUUAUAGGAUUAAGAUGGGCAUGCGUGUCAUUAGCUAGUUGGCGGGGUAACGGCCCACCAAGGCGACGAUGACUGGGGGAUCUGAGAGGAUGACCCCCCACACUGGUACUGAGACACGGACCAGACUCCUACGGGAGGCAGCAGUAAGGAAUAUUGGUCAAUGGAGGCAACUCUGAACCAGCCAUGCCGCGUGCAGGAAGACAGCCCUCUGGGUCGUAAACUGCUUUUAUUCGGGAAUAAACCUCAUUACGUGUAGUGAGCUGAAUGUACCGAAGGAAUAAGGAUCGGCUAACUCCGUG